Molecule: ribosomal RNA, 253 nt
Filed under: uncultured bacterium
Lineage: Bacteria
Description: partial 16S ribosomal RNA
Rfam family: Bacterial small subunit ribosomal RNA
Source: RNAcentral
UACAGAGGUGGCAAGCGUUGUUCGGAAUUACUGGGCGUAAAGGGCGCGUAGGCGGCCAUCUAAGUCAGACGUGAAAUCCCCCGGCUUAACCUGGGAACUGCGUCUGAUACUGGAAGGCUUGAGUAUGGGAGAGGGAUGUAGAAUUCCAGGUGUAGCGGUGAAAUGCGUAGAUAUCUGGAGGAACACCGGUGGCGAAGGCGGCAUCCUGGACCGGUAUUGACGCUGAGGCGCGAAAGCCAGGGGAGCAAACGGG